This 433-nucleotide ribosomal RNA is filed under the name uncultured bacterium. RNAcentral describes it as "bacterial SSU rRNA". It matches the Rfam family "Bacterial small subunit ribosomal RNA", at positions 29 to 507 of the family's 1533-position model. The record is from RNAcentral.
AACGAACGCUGGCGGCAUGCCUAAUACAUGCAAGUCGAACGAGAUCUUCGGAUCUAGUGGCGCACGGGUGCGUAACGCGUGGGAAUCUACCCUUGGGUUCGGAAUAACAGUUAGAAAUGACUGCUAAUACCGGAUGAUGACGUAAGUCCAAAGAUUUAUCGCCCAAGGAUGAGCCCGCGUAGGAUUAGCUAGUUGGUGAGGUAAAGGCUCACCAAGGCUACGAUCCUUAGCUGGUCUGAGAGGAUGAUCAGCCACACUGGGACUGAGACACGGCCCAGACUCCUACGGGAGGCAGCAGUAGGGAAUAUUGGACAAUGGGCGAAAGCCUGAUCCAGCAAUGCCGCGUGAGCGAUGAAGGCCUUAGGGUUGUAAAGCUCUUUUACCCGAGAUGAUAAUGACAGUAUCGGGAGAAUAAGCCCCGGCUAACUCCGUG